RNAcentral lists this unclassified non-coding RNA (265 nucleotides) under uncultured Archaeorhizomyces. RNAcentral's name for it is "sequence contains ITS1". The stretch from base 1 to 103 matches the Rfam family "5.8S ribosomal RNA", at positions 50 to 154 of the family's 154-position model. Lineage: Eukaryota; Fungi; Ascomycota; Archaeorhizomycetes; Archaeorhizomycetales; Archaeorhizomycetaceae. The record is from RNAcentral.
AAAGCGCGAAAUGUAAUGUGAAUUGCAGAACAUUGUGAAUCAUCGAAUCUUUGAACGCACAUUGCGCCUCCUGUAAAUGGGAGGCAUGCCUGUCUGAGCGUCAUUUAAAACCAUAACCUUUAGGGUUGUAUUGGGACUCGCCUUUCGGCGUCUCCUCAAAGUCAUCGUGUCUGAAAGCGUACGAGCUCCUCUAGGACUGAACGUUUGAGGACCCUAAACUCUCUGACUUGACCUCAGAUCAGGUAGGACUACCGCCUGAACUUAA